AAUUGUAAAAAUUUAGACUACCCAAUAUGUUGUAUUCGUGCAUCCGUGCAACCCUAAUUCAAUUUGAUCCAUUUGAAAGUAAAACAAAAUUUAUUAUGUCUUUAUCCUUUAAAUUAAAGAUCCCAGUCAUCCUCAUCGUCUUGAACACGUCGAUUGAUCUAAUUAAACAGUUAAACUCUGGACCAUGUAAUAUAAACAGAUGUUUUUUUUUGAUAUUUCUCUCCUCAGAUGAAUUUGAAAUAAAAAAGGAGAGAAGGAAUUAGUAAGGCACUUACCACAAUUUUUGUUUCAUUACGUUUGGAGACCUCACCAGAAAUUUUUUCUAACAAUUCGAUAAGUUCGGGCUCUGAGAUUUUAUGAGAUAUCUGGCCCGUUUUGGCCAUACGUAACAGGAGCUCUUCAACAGCUACACAAAUUAGACACAUGUUUACAUUAUUCGUAAACAGAUAUUAAAUUAUUAUCCGCCGCAGAAAAUGAAAUCACACUUACCUUCAGCACGAUCUUUUCGUACCAACGCUAUACGACGAAGUCUGUCUCUUGCUGGGUGUUCCAAAAUUUGAGAAAGCUUAUGAAAUUGUUAGUCGGAUAUGGACCAUACACAUCAUAAACAUACUAGAUUUUGUCGCAUUUCAUCUUGUACCUCCUGUUGUUGCUGAUUGCUUGAUGGACCUGAAGCAAUAUUACUAGAUUUGUUAAUUCUU
Molecule: non-coding RNA, 701 nt
Organism: Schizosaccharomyces pombe (fission yeast)
Lineage: Eukaryota; Fungi; Ascomycota; Schizosaccharomycetes; Schizosaccharomycetales; Schizosaccharomycetaceae
Source: the annotation of a GenBank genome assembly